ACCAGGAGAGGCAGCCCAGGUGACAGUACAAGGCAGCGACGGGGAAGAACGCCUCCCGUCCUGGGAAGGAGAGUCUCCAGAGCUGUCUUGGACUGAACUCGGGCCCUGCAAACUGGCCCAGUGCCAGCCGCCUGGUGGAGGCCGUUUGCAGCCAGCUCUGCCAUCUUCACCCAGUGGCCACGUGUCUGGAGGGACCAGGAGGACUUUGUGGUCCCUCAUCCUCAAGGAUUAUGUGGCCAUUAGAGAGGCAGUGCUGGCCAGCCCGGGGUUGAUGGCUCAGACCAACAUCCAGCUCUUUGAAUUAAAUUGAGGACUCAGUGGCGCUGGCCAGACUCUCGUUUCAGCAAAGGGUCUGUCCCUGGUACAAGGGGGACAAGGACUUCAAUGUCCCAGAGGAGCAGCCUGGGCCCUCCGGCAGGGGUCUGCCUCCUCCUCCUUCUCCUCUUCCUUCAAACGAUGAACAGCCUGGCCCCUCAUCCAGUGCUGUUAGUCUUCCCCUUGCUCCAGCACCACUCCCCUCUUCUGUUCAUCCACCUCCUCUGCCUGGACCACCUGCACCCAGGACCGGAGCCUAGAGGAAGAGGAAGGCGGCCUGAAGCUGCUGUGGCAGAGCGGGGGCCGCUGCCUGGAGGAAAAACCCCUCCAGCUGCCAACGUCAUACAUCUGCAUAAGUGUUGCUAACGCAAAAGGAUUGACACUGACCUCACUCACAUUGCAGGUGUGUCACACUGUGUGACUGUUGUUGGAAAGACUGUGGAGGGAAGAGAUGAAGAGAAGACAGGAGGACUUUAUCUAUCUCCAUUUAUAACUUUUAAUUUGCAUUAUUUAUUAUUAUUAUUAUUAUUAUAUUUUAUUUGUUGUAUUUGGAGUGGAGUUUGUGUCACCUGAUGGUUCAUGAAGAUCUCAGUCCAGUGUUCCCUCUCUUUUAGCUCUGUGUUUGUUCUCCACCAGCUCCUGAGGGAAAUCUGUCUCUUUAGCUGCUAAAUGCUCCACUAUCUUCAGCAGCUGUUCUCUGACUGUGUCUGUCUGCUGUUUGCUGCUGAGGAAUCGUGGACAGUGACUUUUUACAGAUGUUUGCAUAGGGGAGUUUACAAAAGCACUGGGUGUGUACAACAGAGAUCCCUUUGCUAGAGACCAUGCUGCCACACCAGUAGCUUGCUGGAAACCAAUAUCCUUUGUUAUUAUUUAUUGUUUAUUUCUUUCAAAUUCUGUUUACCUUCAAUGAACCAGAAGUAGUUAAGCUGUAUCCUGUAUUUAAUUAUGUUCUUUGUUAACAGUAUAAGCAAAACCCUGGUGAAUGUUUGAGAGAAAUUUUUUUUUUUCCCCCUUUUGAUGCAUUAAGAAUGUAAGAUGUUUUAGUCACACUUUAUUAUUUUUGUUGUAUGCAUGGCAAAUUAUUUACUUUUGUUUGUUGUAAAAAAGAAAUCAUCCAUCCUACCAUUAGUUCCUUGAUGAAUUUCCU
Seriola aureovittata is the source of this 1462-nucleotide long non-coding RNA. RefSeq lists it as uncharacterized. The transcript has 3 exons. The record is from RefSeq and is a predicted model, not a curated record. Lineage: Eukaryota; Metazoa; Chordata; Actinopteri; Carangiformes; Carangidae.